UGGGGAUGUGGCUCAAGCAAUAGCGUGCUCGCCUGGCAUGCGUGCGGCCCGGGUUUGAUCCUCAGCACCACAUACAAACAAAGAUGUUGUGUCCCCCGAGAACUUGAAAAUGAAUAUCAAAGAAUUCUCAUUCUCUCUCUCUCUUAAAAAAAAGAAUACAUACAUACAGAACUAAAAUGGGAUGAUAACACAAAAAAUCUGAUUUAAAAAUGGCAAAGGACUUAAAUCUCCAAAGAAGAUAUAAAGAUGGCUAGUGAGCACAAGAAUGAAAAUUAUAAUGAGAUACAGUAGGAUGUCUCUCUCUUUCUCUCUCUCUCUCUCUCUCUCUCUCUCUCUCUCUCCCUCUCUCUCUCUCUCUCACACACACACACACACACACACACGCAAGGAUGCAGAUAAAUUCCAAUUCUUAUGCACUGCUGAUGGAACUAUAAAGAAGUACAGUUAUAGAAAACAGUUUUAAUCCAUUGUAUUUCCUAUUACAAUAUAUCAAAAUAAUUGAAAGUAUGGGCCUGAGGGUAUAUUUAUACACCCAGUGUUCAUUGCUGCACUAUUCAUAGUAGUCAAAAGUUGGAAAUAACUGGUAGGUUAAAGGACAAAAUAUAUUAUCUGUACAAUGGAAUAUUCAGCCAUUAAAAGGAAUUAAAUUUUGAUGAGUCUUUAAAAAAAUGUCAAAUGAAAUAAGCUAGUCACAAAAGGAGAAAUACCAUUCGAUUCCACUUAUGUGAGGUAUGUAGAAUAGUGAAAUUCAUAAAGACAAAGUAGAGCAGUGGUUACUGUCCAUCAAGGGAUUUGGGGGGGAGGAGUAAAAGGGGGAUUAUUUAAGGAGUACAAAGAUUGAAUAUGGGAUCAUAUAGAGAUUGAUAGUGGUGAUGGCUGUACAUAAUGUGAAUGUACUUCAUGUCCUUGAACUAUAUACUUCAAAGUAGUUAAAACAGUAAAUUUUAUAUUUUAUCAAAUUGCACCAGGGGCUGGGGUUGUGGCUCAGAGGUUGAGCGCUCACCUAGCAUGCGUAAGGCAAUGGGUUUGAUCCUCAGCAUCAAAUACAAAUAAAAUAAAGGUAUUGUGUCCAUCUACAACUAAAAAAUGAAUAUUAAAAAAAUAAAAUAAUAAAAAUACAUUAAAAACCACCAAAAAGAAAAAAAAAUAUGGGUUAGCUGUUAGAAAAAUAACUCCAGCUACAAGGAAAGAAAACAUAAAUGCAUAUUACUCAGUGAAAGAAGCCAGUUUGAAAGACCACAUACUGUAUGAUCUCCAGUGUAGGACAUUCUGGAGAAAGCAGACAUUAGCGGUUGCUAGAAGUUCAGUGGGAGAGAGGGAGGAGUGAACACAUGGAGCACAGGAGAUUGUUAGGGCAAGGAAAUUACUAUGUAUAGUAUAGGAUGCUGUGAUAGUGGAUAUAUGGCAUUAUACAUUCAUCAAAAUCUGUAAAACUACUACAAAAAUAGCAACUUUAAUGUAAACUAUGAACUUUAGUUGAUAAGACUGUAUCGAUGUUGGUGUAUUAAUUUAAACUAAUGUGCUGCCCUGGUGUAGGGUGUUUCCUAACAGGAACAGGAUGAGGGAGAGGAGCAUGGGGGGACUCUGUACUGUCGCUCAGCUUUCCCAUACAGGUGCUCCUUACCAUGGGGUUGCAUUCUCCCAACCUAUUGUAAGUCAAAUACCCAAAAGUCAAAAAUAUAUCUAAUACACGUAACCUACCAAACAUCACAGCUUAGCUAUAGUGCUGUGGGCCACCGGUUGUUCCCCUUCUGAUCAUGUGGCUGACAAGCAGGGCUUUGCUGCUACUGGUCAGCAUCAGAAGGGGAUGAGCACACGUGCUAUUUCAGGAAAGAUCAUAAUUCAAAGUGCAGUUUCUACUGAAUGUGUAUCACUUUCACACUACCAUAAAAUAGAAAAAUAAUGACUUGAACGAUUGUUAAGUCAAGUCAUAAGUUGGGGACUGUAAUCUAAAUUUUUUCUAAAAGUCUUAAAUUUAAAGAAUCACAUUUUUUUCUACUUUCUCAGUAUCUCAGACUCAUCUGUUAAAUAGUGAUUUAUGGUGAAUGGAUGAAUAAAUUAAACACUAGUGACAAAUUUAAUAUAUGGGGCCUACACUGGGCCAGACUGUGUAGAAGAGCCAGCGUGCAUACCAGUUUUGAAAAAGACGUGGCUUGGGAAUGGGAUUGUGCAUGGCCGGUGCUUGCUCCUCUGCCCCAAUUCUUUUGCCAACCCUAGACCUUUGGUGGUCAGAAAACCCACCCUCCAAUCUGCUGCAAGACUUUCUAUACUAACAGUCACUAUAGCUUUUUUUUUCUAUUAUGUUUCAAUGUAAUUUAAACAGGUGGAAAAAAAACGGAGCAUUUGACCUGUGUUGCCCCUAAAAAGAUGAAAAUUUGGCAUUCUGCAAAAUCAUGCACUAAAAACUACAGGCCUUUUGAGGAAAACAGGUUUGGGAUUUAGUAACCUGUGUAGUAAGAUUAACAAUCCUAAAUUUGCACUGGCAUAUGCUUUAAGAAUGAUUCCAUCUUUUUCAGCCUUAAACUUUCAAGUUUAUGUUUCUUUGAGAUAAAAAUCCUUGAACUAAAUCACUUUUAACAGAAACCAUUUUCAUCAAUAUUAAAAAUAUGACAUAGCGAUGUCUUUAUCAGUCAAUGCUUCUGUCUACUCACUAGGUAACAUGUCAUCUUGGAUGUUUCAUCUCUGUGUAGUUGUAGCUUCCUGGAUAGAGCAAAGAGUGAGGUGUGUUUUGAAACCCUAAACCAGUCAUUUUUUCAUCAUUUUUUUCUUGCUAUCUCCAUAUAUUCCUGAGGGUUUCUCUCUGGUUGUGAGGAAGUUUGCUUCCUUUGCCUUGCCACCUUAGCUUGCUGGGGAAUCAUGCUGGACCACUGUGACUUACAUACUACUAAUGCCACCACUGGCCUGUUGCAUACAAGCUGAUACACAUACAGAAGCACAUGCGCCUGUCAGCACAAUAGGCUGUUUCAUGGAGUGACAGUUACUGUCUCAUGUUUAAGGAAGAAGAGAUUACAUUUUUGCUUCAUUUUACCUUAUGGUGUUUCAUUUUCUGCUGUUGUAAAAUAAAAACAAAGAUAUAGUCCGCUUGAUGUUUCUUCAGUGGUCUCCAUGACCUUUGGAAAACAAUUAAGAUUGAGAUGUUUUCUCCAUCUCAGUUUUCCUUCGUAUAUAUACCUACCUGCUUUGGCCUCAUAGUCACAUGCUUAAACUCAUAGCUUCUGCUAGAGUGUAGGUGAACUAACCUAGAACACCCAAAUUCCCAGCAGCCUUCCCUGUAGUGUUUCUCAGAAAACAGUUUUGUCAGUAUCCGUAUUCUAGACUCACAAGUUUGGUACUCUGUUACCCAAAAUUCUAAAAAGCCUGGUGAUCUUUUGAAGAUAAUCAAUCUAGAAGGUUGGUUGAGGGGGAAAAAAGUGCUAUAGUGAGUAACUUGAGUCACUCUAACAACAAAGAAAGUAACAUAUGGCAAUAAAAUGGAAGAAAAUAUCAAAUACAAGGACCAAAAUAUCCCAUGGUUAACUGGGGCUAUGAUGUGCAGACAAAAGCUUUUCUAGCCAAGGAACCCUGAGGCUCCCGCCCAUACCGUGGAAGCCUAAGUCCAUGAGAAAAACAUGGGUCUGGUAGCCAGACUUCCCUGGGUUUAAACUCUUGUUCAUUUCCCUAAAAUGUCAUAUAUUUAUUAUUUAUUAUAUUUUUAUUAGCCAUUUGUGUAUUUUCUUUGAUAAAAUGUCUAAUAAAAUAUUUUGCCCAAA
RNAcentral lists this long non-coding RNA (3749 nucleotides) under Marmota monax (woodchuck). The record is from RNAcentral. Lineage: Eukaryota; Metazoa; Chordata; Mammalia; Rodentia; Sciuridae.